GCUCCCGUAGCUCAGUUGGUUAGAGCGUGAUGCUUAUAACGUUGAGGCCACCGGUUCGAGCCCGGUCGGGAGCA
This 74-nucleotide transfer RNA is filed under the name Rozella allomycis CSF55. RNAcentral's name for it is "tRNA-Ile (TAT) (tRNA-Ile-TAT-1-1)". It matches the Rfam family "tRNA". From Rfam's summary of the family: Transfer RNA (tRNA) molecules are approximately 80 nucleotides in length. Their secondary structure includes four short double-helical elements and three loops (D, anti-codon, and T loops). Further hydrogen bonds mediate the characteristic L-shaped molecular structure. tRNAs have two regions of fundamental functional importance: the anti-codon, which is responsible for specific mRNA codon recognition, and the 3' end, to which the tRNAs corresponding amino acid is attached (by aminoacyl-tRNA synthetases). tRNAs cope with the degeneracy of the genetic code in two manners: having more than one tRNA (with a specific anti-codon) for a particular amino acid; and 'wobble' base-pairing, i.e. permitting non-standard base-pairing at the 3rd anti-codon position. Lineage: Eukaryota; Fungi; Rozellomycota. The record is from RNAcentral.